UAGAGUGGGCUUAUUGGCAUUCCAGCAUAGAACGUUUAUGGAAGAAAUUGUACCAUUGAUUGGUAUUCCACUAUAGAACUAUUAUGGAAGAAAUUGUAGCAUUGAUAUGGAGACAGUG
Molecule: microRNA precursor, 118 nt
Filed under: Dasypus novemcinctus (nine-banded armadillo)
Lineage: Eukaryota; Metazoa; Chordata; Mammalia; Cingulata; Dasypodidae
Description: miRNA (ENSDNOG00000034340.1)
Source: RNAcentral